UGAGGCCAAUGAUGAUCUAAAACUAUUUUGCCUACAUCGGAUGAUUAUCUGUUAUAAGAUAAUGAUAUCUCUGACAUAUCUGAGGCCUUU
Molecule: small nucleolar RNA, 90 nt
Organism: Quercus robur (English oak)
Lineage: Eukaryota; Viridiplantae; Streptophyta; Magnoliopsida; Fagales; Fagaceae
Product: small nucleolar RNA SNORD34
Exons: 1
Source: RefSeq, a predicted model, not a curated record